AGGUGCGAUCAUACUAGCACUAAUGCACCGGAUCCCAUCAGAACUCCGAAGUUAUGUGUGCAUGGGAGAGAAUGGUACUAGAAUGGGUGACCUCCUGAAAGUCAUCGUGCUGCACCUC
This 118-nucleotide ribosomal RNA is filed under the name Lupinus angustifolius (narrow-leaved blue lupine). Lineage: Eukaryota; Viridiplantae; Streptophyta; Magnoliopsida; Fabales; Fabaceae. The record is from RNAcentral.